GUGUCAGCAGCCGCGGUAAUACGUAGGGGGCGAGCGUUGUCCGGAUUUACUGGGCGUAAAGCGCGUGUAGGCGGCUUCUUAAGUCGGGUGUGAAAGCCCGGGGCUCAACCCCGGGAUGCCGCCCGAGACUGGGAGGCUUGAGGUCGGAAGAGGGGAGUGGAAUUCCAGGUGUAGCGGUGAAAUGCGUAGAGAUCUGGAGGAACACCCGUGGCGAAGGCGGCUCCCUGGUCCGGUUCUGACGCUGAGACGCGAAAGCGCGGGGAGCGAACGGGAUUAGAUACCCUAGUAGUCC
RNAcentral lists this ribosomal RNA (292 nucleotides) under uncultured bacterium. Its description in RNAcentral is "partial 16S ribosomal RNA". It matches the Rfam family "Bacterial small subunit ribosomal RNA", at positions 505 to 796 of the family's 1533-position model. The record is from RNAcentral.